This 153-nucleotide non-coding RNA is filed under the name Bifidobacterium adolescentis. Its description in RNAcentral is "FMN sequence". It matches the Rfam family "FMN riboswitch aptamer (RFN element)". Rfam says of the family: The RFN element is a highly conserved domain that is found frequently in the 5'-untranslated regions of prokaryotic mRNAs that encode for flavin mononucleotide (FMN) biosynthesis and transport proteins. This element is a metabolite-dependent riboswitch that directly binds FMN in the absence of proteins. The record is from RNAcentral. RNAcentral also lists the same sequence under 1 other name. Lineage: Bacteria; Bacillati; Actinomycetota; Actinomycetes; Bifidobacteriales; Bifidobacteriaceae.
AGCAAGUUUCAGGGAAGGUGAAAAUCCUUACUGGCGGUAACGGCACGACCGGCAUUCAUAACGGCCCCAUACCGAAGCCCGCGACCCGCGAAAGCGGCUGAUCCGGUGAGAAUCCGGGGCCAACGGUUACAGUCCGGAUGGAAGAAACGGAGC